RNAcentral lists this ribosomal RNA (438 nucleotides) under uncultured bacterium. RNAcentral describes it as "bacterial SSU rRNA". It matches the Rfam family "Bacterial small subunit ribosomal RNA", at positions 30 to 468 of the family's 1533-position model. The record is from RNAcentral.
AUUGAACGCUGGCGGCAUGCUUUACACAUGCAAGUCGAACGGCAGCACGGGUGCUUGCACCUGGUGGCGAGUGGCGGACGGGUGAGUAAUGCAUCGGAACGUGUCCUGAAGUGGGGGAUAACGCAUCGAAAGAUGUGCUAAUACCGCAUAUUCUCUGAGGAGGAAAGUAGGGGAUCGAAAGACCUUAUGCUUUUGGAGCGGCCGAUGUCUGAUUAGCUAGUUGGUAGGGUAAUGGCUUACCAAGGCGACGAUCAGUAGUUGGUCUGAGAGGACGACCAGCCACACUGGGACUGAGACACGGCCCAGACUCCUACGGGAGGCAGCAGUGGGGAAUUUUGGACAAUGGGCGCAAGCCUGAUCCAGCAAUGCCGCGUGAGUGAAGAACGGCCUUGGUUGUAAAGCUCUUCUAGUUGAGAAGAAAAGUACGUGACUAAUAAU